This is a long non-coding RNA of Mytilus californianus (California mussel), 476 nucleotides long. RefSeq lists it as uncharacterized. The transcript has 3 exons. NCBI's taxonomy places the organism in Eukaryota, Metazoa, Mollusca, Bivalvia, Mytilida, Mytilidae. The record is from RefSeq and is a predicted model, not a curated record.
CUUUAGUUAAUUCUAUUCUGAGUUAAGUCUCUGUUGUAUCUUACCUGGAGGUGCCUCUGUAUGUGAUUGGUCUUUAGUUAGUUCUAUUCUGAGUUAAGUCUCUGUUGUAUCUUACCUGGAGGUGCCUCUGUAUCUGAUUGGUCUUUAGUUAGUUCUAUUCUGAGAUAAGUCUCUAUUGUAUCUUACCUGGAGGUGCCUCUGUAUGUGAUUGGUCUUUAGUUAGUUCUUUUCUGAGUUAAGUCUCUGUUGUAUCUUACCUGGAGGUGCCUCUGUAUCUGAUUGGUCUUUAGUUAGUUCUAUUCUGAGAUAAGUCUCUAUUGUAUCUUACCUGGAGAUGCCUCUGUAUGUGAUUGGUCUUUAGUUAGUUCUAUUCUGAGACAAGUCUCUAUUGUAUCUUACCUGGAGGUGCCUCUGUAUCUGAUUGGUCUUUAGUUAGUUCUAUUCUGAGACAAGUCUCUGUUGUAUCUUACCUGGAG